This 292-nucleotide long non-coding RNA is filed under the name Manihot esculenta (cassava). RNAcentral's name for it is "long non-coding RNA (MESC_LNC001324)". Lineage: Eukaryota; Viridiplantae; Streptophyta; Magnoliopsida; Malpighiales; Euphorbiaceae. The record is from RNAcentral.
GGGACCCUAGAAGGUCUUUUGAUAUAAGUAGAAGAGGAGCAGUUCAGGGAGGAAUGCCAGCUGAGGGGGAAGUUAUGGAUGUUGAUCAGAGAAUGGAUGGAAGUCUGGGAGUAAGCAUGUCUGAAGAGGGCAUGGGAGAAUCUCAAGGAGGCACUCAGGUCUCGGGGUUUGCUCAACCACCCUAAUAUCAACCAUUUCCACAGGGCCCCGGGUAUUCGAUGGGAGGUACAUCGGAUUACCCCAGCUUUAACCCUUAUCCCUCUUUCAUGCUUUACCCUCCUUUCUAUCCACC